This 125-nucleotide small RNA is filed under the name Marmota monax (woodchuck). The record is from RNAcentral. Lineage: Eukaryota; Metazoa; Chordata; Mammalia; Rodentia; Sciuridae.
GUUGGGCACAGUGGUGCAUGCCUGUAAUCCCAGCAGCUUAGGAGGCUGAGACAGGAGGACCAGGAGUUCAAAGCCAGUCUCAGCAAUGACAAGGUGCUAAGCAACUCAGUGAGACUCUGUCUCUA